This 102-nucleotide small nuclear RNA is filed under the name Salvator merianae (Argentine black and white tegu). RNAcentral describes it as "U5 spliceosomal RNA (ENSSMRG00000011207.1)". It matches the Rfam family "U5 spliceosomal RNA", at positions 1 to 102 of the family's 117-position model. From Rfam's summary of the family: U5 RNA is a component of both types of known spliceosome. The precise function of this molecule is unknown, though it is known that the 5' loop is required for splice site selection and p220 binding, and that both the 3' stem-loop and the Sm site are important for Sm protein binding and cap methylation. Lineage: Eukaryota; Metazoa; Chordata; Lepidosauria; Squamata; Teiidae. The record is from Rfam by way of RNAcentral.
AUACUCUGAUUUCUCUUCAGAUCGUAUAAAUCUUUCACCUUUUAUUAAAGACUUCCAUGGAGAGGAAUAUUUAUGAGUUUUUAACUAAUUUUUUGAGGCUCU